RNAcentral lists this transfer RNA (93 nucleotides) under Deltaproteobacteria bacterium. RNAcentral's name for it is "tRNA-Ser". It matches the Rfam family "tRNA". From Rfam's summary of the family: Transfer RNA (tRNA) molecules are approximately 80 nucleotides in length. Their secondary structure includes four short double-helical elements and three loops (D, anti-codon, and T loops). Lineage: Bacteria; Pseudomonadati; Myxococcota; Myxococcia. The record is from RNAcentral. RNAcentral also lists the same sequence under 1 other name.
GGAGAGAUGCCCGAGAGGCCGAAGGGGCGCGAUUGGAAAUCGUGUGUUCCGUUAAUAGCGGGACCGUGGGUUCGAAUCCCACUCUCUCCGCCA